Molecule: long non-coding RNA, 744 nt
Filed under: Durio zibethinus
Lineage: Eukaryota; Viridiplantae; Streptophyta; Magnoliopsida; Malvales; Malvaceae
Description: long non-coding RNA (DZIB_LNC001505)
Source: RNAcentral
AUCGUCAUUCAUAAAAUAUAUAAAAAAAAGAUCGGAUAAUUAGAUAUGUAUGAUAUUCUUUACCUAACUUUCUCGUUUUCUUUUUCGAUCAUUAUCUUUUUUUUUUUCCCUUAUUUCAUUUUUUUAUAUAUUUUUUAUUGACUUAAGCAUCGAAUAAAUUUUCGAAAUAUUACUUUCGAUAACCUCCUAACCUUUUUCUUUGUGAUAAAUUUGACAUUCUCUUCAUCUAAACUUCUAACGAGCCCUUCGACUACUAGACCAAGAAUUACGUCUACAAAUAUAGCUACCACUUUCCAAACAAAGAUAAUUUUCCGUUAAUAUAUUUUCUAGAAAGCACAUUAAAAUUUCCAUUACCUAAUUUUUCACAUGUUAGAAAGAAAAGAAAGGGGAAGUUGGAAUUACAAAUAUUUUCACGUGGCCAAAAACAAAACCAUUUGACUUGUGGUGAUUGAUGUGGAAAAAAAUGGUGGGUUUUUGGCUUUUGGAUGUUUGAAGAUUUCCAAUUAAACAUGGGUGACCUAUAACUCUCAAAUUUUCAUUUAUAGCACGUGAUUAAUGUUGUUGUUGUUGUUGUUUUUUUAUCACGUGAUUCUUUUGGGUUUUUGAUCUAAAAGUUGGUGGUGGUUUUGUGAUAAGGUCCUAAAGAGAGGCAAGCAAAGCAAGUGUUUGCACUUUGUAGUUCACGUAAUAUGAUUACACAACUCUUUUUAACAUCCGGACAAUUGGCAACAACAUGGUAUCCAA